RNAcentral lists this ribosomal RNA (227 nucleotides) under uncultured Lactobacillus sp. RNAcentral describes it as "partial 16S ribosomal RNA". It matches the Rfam family "Bacterial small subunit ribosomal RNA", at positions 134 to 355 of the family's 1533-position model. Lineage: Bacteria; Bacillati; Bacillota; Bacilli; Lactobacillales; Lactobacillaceae. The record is from RNAcentral.
GAGAUCGGGAUAACACCUGGAAACAGAUGCUAAUACCGGAUAANAACAGAUGAUGCCUAUCAACUGUUUAAAAGAUGGUUCUGCUAUCACUCUUGGAUGGACCUGCGGUGCAUUAGCUAGUUGGUAGGGUAACGGCCUACCAAGGCGAUGAUGCAUAGCCGAUUGAGAGACUGAUCGGCCACAUUGGGACUGAGACACGGCCCAAACUCCUACGGGAGGCAGCAGCC